UACCUGCAGCUCAAGUAGUGAUCGCUAUUAUUGGGCCUAAAACGUUCGUAGCCGGUUUGGUAAAUGCCUGGGUAAAUAGUGUAGCUUAACUAUACGAAUUCCGGGUAGACUGUCAAACUUGAGACCGGGAGAAGCUAGAGGUACUCCUGGGGUAGAGGUGAAAUUCUGUAAUCCUGAGGGGACCACCAGUGGCGAAGGCGUCUAGCUAGAACGGGUCUGACGGUGAGGAACGAAGCCCUGGGGCGCGAACCGGAUUAGAUACCCGGGUAGUCCAGGGUGUAAACGCUGCUUGCUUGAUGUUAGUUGGGCUCCGAGCCCAAUUAGUGUCGGAGAGAAGUUGUUAAGCAAGCUGCCUGGGAAGUACGAUCGCAAGAUUGAAACUUAAAGGAAUUGGCGGGGGAGCACAGCAACGGGUGGAGCGUGCGGUUU
RNAcentral lists this ribosomal RNA (429 nucleotides) under uncultured archaeon. RNAcentral describes it as "bacterial SSU rRNA". It matches the Rfam family "Archaeal small subunit ribosomal RNA", at positions 474 to 903 of the family's 1478-position model. The record is from RNAcentral.